GCCGGAAUAGCUCAGCUGGGAGAGCAACAGACUGAAGAGUGUAUGCUUUCUGGAGGUCCCGUGUUCAAUCCACGGUUCUGGCA
This is a non-coding RNA of Peniophora sp. CONT, 83 nucleotides long. The record is from Rfam. Lineage: Eukaryota; Fungi; Basidiomycota; Agaricomycetes; Russulales; Peniophoraceae.